Molecule: long non-coding RNA, 759 nt
Organism: Oncorhynchus tshawytscha (Chinook salmon)
Lineage: Eukaryota; Metazoa; Chordata; Actinopteri; Salmoniformes; Salmonidae
Source: Ensembl
CAUGGUUUCCCCCCCCCCCAGAAUCACAAUAACAUGUCAUCUGUUUUAUCUUCUUUUUUAAAUGUAUUAUUAUAUCUCAAAAUAUCGCCCAUUGUAAUGUUAUGGAAUGAAAUGUCCUUGUUUCAGACCAACAGCUUACAGAGAAGGCAUAUAGCUUUUUCGAUGUGAAAAGCUAGAAACGACCACUAGAGGAAAUCCUGGUAAAUAAAUAUAAAAUGUAUCAGAAUCAAAGGUUCUAUCCUAAUCUAAUGUGGGGUGGCAGGUAGCCUAGUGGUUUGAGCGUUGGGCAGGUAGCCUCGUGGUUUGAGCGUUGGGCAGGUAGCCUAGUGGUUAGAGCGUUGGGCAUGUAGCCUAGUGGUUAGAGCGUUGGGCCAGUAACCAAAAGCUGACAAGGUCAAAAAUCUGUCUUUCUGCUCCUGAACAAGGCAGUUAACCCACUGUUCCACGGUAGGCUGUUAUUGUAAAUAAGAAUUUGUUCUUAACUGACUUGCCUAGUUAAAUAAAAUAAAAGUUAAAUUUAAAGACUGCCAAGCCAUUUAACAUGACCAAGAAAACCACUAAGCUAUGUGUAUUUUGUACAAUGUCUGUUAGUAGUGAAAUGAAAUGUACGUGUGUUUAAAGAGAGUCACCAUUUUUUUGGACUGAUUCGGCCAAACUAGUCUACAUACAUCUACAGGUGUGAUAAUGUUAUAUUUGUCCAUCAACAAGGUUACUGAUCCAAACAGAUGUGCUAGAAGGUAAAGGGGUUCAGUGUAGUAG